This 324-nucleotide ribosomal RNA is filed under the name Klebsiella pneumoniae. RNAcentral describes it as "bacterial SSU rRNA". It matches the Rfam family "Bacterial small subunit ribosomal RNA", at positions 726 to 1049 of the family's 1533-position model. The record is from RNAcentral. Lineage: Bacteria; Pseudomonadati; Pseudomonadota; Gammaproteobacteria; Enterobacterales; Enterobacteriaceae.
CCCCUGGACAAAGACUGACGCUCAGGUGCGAAAGCGUGGGGAGCAAACUGGAUUAGAUACCCUGGUAGUCCACGCCGUAAACGAUGUCGAUUUGGAGGUUGUGCCCUUGAGGCGUGGCUUCCGGAGCUAACGCGUUAAAUCGACCGCCUGGGGAGUACGGCCGCAAGGUUAAAACUCAAAUGAAUUGACGGGGGCCCGCACAAGCGGUGGAGCAUGUGGUUUAUUUCGAUGCAACGCGAAGAACCUUACCUGGUCUUGACAUCCACAGAACUUAGCAGAGAUGCUUUGGUGCCUUCGGGAACUGUGAGACAGGUGCUGCAUGGC